RNAcentral lists this ribosomal RNA (402 nucleotides) under bacterium. RNAcentral's name for it is "partial 16S ribosomal RNA". It matches the Rfam family "Bacterial small subunit ribosomal RNA", at positions 355 to 776 of the family's 1533-position model. The record is from RNAcentral.
UGGGGAAUUUUGCACAAUGGGGGAAACCCUGAUGCAGCGACGCCGCGUGAUUUAGAAGGCCUUCGGGUUGUAAAAAUCUUUUCUAUGGGAAGAAAAUGACAGUACCAUAGGAAUAAGGACCGGCUAAUUACGUGCCAGCAGCCGCGGUAAUACGUAAGGUCCGAGCGUUGUCCGGAAUCAUUGGGCGUAAAGGGUACGUAGGCGGGUAAGCAAGUUAGAAGUGAAAUCCUAUAGCUCAACUAGAGUAAGCUUUUGAAACUGGUCAUCUUGAGGUAUGGAAGGGAAAGUGGAAUUCCUAGUGUAGCGGUGAAAUGCGCAGAUAUUAGGAGGAAUACCGGUGGCGAAGGCGACUUUCUGGCCAUAACCUGACGCUGAGGUACGAAAGCGUGGGUAGCAAACAGG